GUGGGGAAUAUUGGACAAUGGGCGAAAGCCUGAUCCAGCCAUGCCGCGUGUGUGAAGAAGGUCUUCGGAUUGUAAAGCACUUUAAGUUGGGAGGAAGGGCAGUAAGUUAAUACCUUGCUGUUUUGACGUUACCGACAGAAUAAGCACCGGCUAACUUCGUGCCAGCAGCCGCGGUAAUACGAAGGGUGCAAGCGUUAAUCGGAAUUACUGGGCGUAAAGCGCGCGUAGGUGGUUUUGUAAGUUGGAGGUGAAAUCCCCGGGCUCAACCUUGGAACUGCCUCCAAAACUGCAUGACUAGAGUACGGUAGAGGGUAGUGGAAUUGCCUGUGUAGCGGUGAAAUGCGUAGAUAUAGGAAGGAACACCAGUGGCGAAGGCGACUACCUGGACUGAUACUGACACUGAGGUGCGAAAGCGUGGGGAGCAAACAGGAUUAGAAACCCGGGUAGUCC
This 450-nucleotide ribosomal RNA is filed under the name uncultured bacterium. Its description in RNAcentral is "partial 16S ribosomal RNA". It matches the Rfam family "Bacterial small subunit ribosomal RNA", at positions 354 to 796 of the family's 1533-position model. The record is from RNAcentral.